UACAGAGGGUGCGAGCGUUAAUCGGAAUGACUGGGCGUAAAGGGUGUGUAGGUGGUUUGAUAAGUUAGGUGUGAAAGUCCUGGGCUUAACCUGGGGAGGUCGCUUAAGACUGUCGAGCUAGAGUACUGUAGAGGAAGGUGGAAUUUCCGGAGUAGCAGUGAAAUGCGUAGAUAUCGUAAGGAAGACCAGUGGCGAAGGCGAAUCUCUGGACAGUUACUGACACUGAGGCACGAAGGCCAGGGGAGCAAACGGG
This 253-nucleotide ribosomal RNA is filed under the name uncultured bacterium. RNAcentral describes it as "partial 16S ribosomal RNA". It matches the Rfam family "Bacterial small subunit ribosomal RNA", at positions 524 to 776 of the family's 1533-position model. The record is from RNAcentral.